UUCUCGUAUUCCCUCUUGUUUUUCGUUUUUAACACUACAAGAAAUCGAGACUUUCUUGACGCCAAAAAGGACGUCGGCACAAAGAACGUCGGAAAUACCCUUAUUUCCGACGUCGGACAGCCGCGUCGGAGAAAACUCUAUUCCCGAUGCCACGCACAAUGCGUUGGGAGUGGUGUCGGGAAAAAGGGUAUUCUCGAUGCGUCAAGCACGCGUCGGCCAAAUGGCGUCGGGAAUAAGGCUAAAUUAAAUUUAAAAUACACCUUAUUCCCGAUGCCAUGCACAGUGCAUCGGGAACGGCGUCGGGAAUAAGGGUUUUCUCGACACACUAUUGCGCGUCGAAAAAACCUUUUAUGAGCGUCGAGAAUACCCUUAUUUCCGACGCCAUAAAGGGGAUCUCCCCACGUUUUCGUGCUGCGUCGGGAGAUCUCCUUUAUAAACGUUUCAGUUCUGUAUUAUACAGAACUGAAAACGAAAAGGAAAGGAGAAGAGAGAAACGAAGAUUCGUCGCCGUCCGUAGCUCGCCGUUGUCUGUUCCGUCGUCAUUGUCGUCCCUCGUCGCCGUCUGCCAUCUUAGGGGUCAGCCACUCUCUGAGGAUGAGAUAUGCGAUCAGGUGUUAGGUAGACGACCAGGCUACUCAAAAGGCCUUGGUUGGGGAUCCAAGUCGAAGGUCCGCAGGACGACGAGUGCGAGCAGUUCCUCGACAUCUUGUCCGCAAUCCACACAAAAAGAAAUUGAAUUACAAGCUAAAGUUAAUGAAACUUUGGAACGGAUUGAAGUGCAAGAUAGAAAUCACCAAGCGUUAGCUUCACAAGUGGAACGAAUGCAAAAGCUGAUAGAAGACUUCACUUGUGCACAACAGGGGCCACCACGUGAUUCCUAGCUUUGCGGACCGAAGGUGUAGAACGACGCGUACGGGCCUCGUUGGGAGACUUUUUGUUAUAUUUGCGUUUUUUUGUAUUAUGAGGAACUACAUUUUUUGUAUUAAACUUACUAAUAUUUUUUGAACUUAUUCGUAUUAUUAAUUUUAAAUUUUUUU
Long non-coding RNA from Cucumis melo (muskmelon), 1037 nucleotides. RefSeq lists it as uncharacterized. The record is from RefSeq and is a predicted model, not a curated record. NCBI's taxonomy places the organism in Eukaryota, Viridiplantae, Streptophyta, Magnoliopsida, Cucurbitales, Cucurbitaceae. The transcript has 3 exons.